RNAcentral lists this long non-coding RNA (1200 nucleotides) under Ananas comosus (pineapple). Its description in RNAcentral is "long non-coding RNA (ACOM_LNC029851)". Lineage: Eukaryota; Viridiplantae; Streptophyta; Magnoliopsida; Poales; Bromeliaceae. The record is from RNAcentral.
UUCAGUGGAAGAAGUCUGUUGUGUAAUAUUUACACCACAUCAUUUAUUCCCGCCCAACGACAUUUCUUUUUUUUUUUUUGAAAGAAAAGUAUAAUAAAAAUAUUUUUUUAAAAAAAAUUAUGAUAGAAUGUGUGAAUCUUAGGGGAGCCUUUUGAUUGGUUGGGGACACUAAAUCGGUAAUAUAACUGUUGCAUUUCAAAAAUUUUCUACCUUGCGAGUUGUGUUACUUUUUCUUCUUAAAAUUUAAAUGAUUAAUAGUAGGUAUGAAAUGAGACAGAAAAAGAUGCCAAGCUAUUAUUUCUCCAGCAGAAAUUCUACAACUCAGUAUAGAAACAAAAUUUCAAUAAAUUUAAGUGGAAUACUUCAGAAUCCAUUUAUCACUGCAGUAUCAUAUAUAUAUAUAUAGUCCGGCUACUAUACUAUUAUGAGUAUGAUCGCCCUCAUAUUUACAAGUUGUUUUCGAUGAUAGAGCUUCCGAACCGACGAUCCACACCAUUAAACGUUAUCUAGAGCAUUUGAAACAUCUAGAAAUCAAAUUUUAUAAUUUUUCAACAUCAUUUACCUUACGAUCAAAAACUCAUAAAAUUGACAAUUUUUAACGGCCGGUAUGGAAUACUUGUUAGUUUAACGGUGCAAAAGAAUCCGAAUAUGUUGAAUUUUUUAUAGAAAAUUCUAUUCACUACCUAAAUAAAGAUCAAUAACUCCGAUCUUAAAUUGAAGGAUCCGAUCAUCCAUUUUUAAGAUAUCGUUCGAUUUUGACCGUUCAUUUUAUACCCGCUUGAUGGACUUUAUUAUGAUUUUGAAAAAUUACGAAAUUUAUUUUCUAGAAGUUUCAAAUCUCUAGAUCAUAUUUAACGGAGUGGAUCGUCGAUUCGGAAGCUCCAUCAUCAAAAACAACUUAUGAGUAUGAAGGGCCCAAUACUCAUAAUAGUAUAGUAGCCCUACUCUAUAUAUAUAUAUAAUGUAAAUUAAUUUCGAGUUCGGGUCAGGUUUGGAUUUGUGUUGGGUACAAUCAAAAUCCAUAUCCGAAUUCAAAUCCGUCGGAUUUUCGUUUUGAUAUCCACAUCCGAAACUAUAUCUAUUUAGUGUCGAACAAAUCCACUCCAUUCGGGUUCAGAUUCGGAUACGGAUAAAGUUUUGUGUAUCCGUAUCCAUUGACAUUCCUAGAUGAGAGGCUCUCUAGUGCUUCUAGUAUAAAUA